UACGAAGGGGGCUAGCGUUGCUCGGAAUGACUGGGCGUAAAGGGCGCGUAGGCGGAUGACAUGGUCAGGCGUGAAAUUCCUGGGCUCAACCUGGGGGCUGCGCUUGAGACGUGUGAUCUGGAGUGGGGAAGAGGGUCGUGGAAUUCCCAGUGUAGAGGUGAAAUUCGUAGAUAUUGGGAAGAACACCGGUGGCGAAGGCGGCGACCUGGUCCUUGACUGACGCUGAGGCGCGAAAGCGUGGGGAGCAAACAGG
Molecule: ribosomal RNA, 253 nt
Filed under: uncultured bacterium
Lineage: Bacteria
Description: partial 16S ribosomal RNA
Rfam family: Bacterial small subunit ribosomal RNA
Source: RNAcentral